This 476-nucleotide ribosomal RNA is filed under the name uncultured bacterium. Its description in RNAcentral is "bacterial SSU rRNA". It matches the Rfam family "Bacterial small subunit ribosomal RNA", at positions 30 to 507 of the family's 1533-position model. The record is from RNAcentral.
UGAACGCUAGCGGCAGGCUUAACACAUGCAAGUCGAGGGGUAUGCCGAUUUAUCGGCAGAGACCGGCGCACGGGUGCGUAACGCGUAUGCAAUCUACCUUUCACAGAGGGAUAGCCCAGAGAAAUUUGGAUUAAUACCUCAUAGUAUAGCAGUUUCGCAUGAAACCACUAUUAAAGUUCCAACGGUGAAAGAUGAGCAUGCGUCCCAUUAGCUAGAUGGUAAGGUAACGGCUUACCAUGGCUACGAUGGGUAGGGGUCCUGAGAGGGAGAUCCCCCACACUGGUACUGAGACACGGACCAGACUCCUACGGGAGGCAGCAGUGAGGAAUAUUGGACAAUGGGCGCAAGCCUGAUCCAGCCAUGCCGCGUGCAGGAUGACGGUCCUAUGGAUUGUAAACUGCUUUUAUACAGGAAGAAACACUCCGACGUGUCGGAGCUUGACGGUACUGUAAGAAUAAGGAUCGGCUAACUCCGUG